RNAcentral lists this non-coding RNA (234 nucleotides) under Saccharomonospora sp. The record is from RNAcentral. Lineage: Bacteria; Bacillati; Actinomycetota; Actinomycetes; Pseudonocardiales; Pseudonocardiaceae.
AGCCUGAGGCGCGCUGGUGGUUCACCUGCCCGGCUCGGGUGGGUGAGGCAAGAGGGAACCCGGUGUGAUUCCGGGACUGCCCCGCAGCGGUGAGUGGGAACGAAAGCCGUGGCCGGUCACACGAUCGGGAACCGGCACUGGGCCAACCGGCCUGGGAAGCCGACGGCGAGUAGGAGCCGGAGCGUGUCCGGCGCGCCCGCGAGUCCGAAGACCUGCCACCGGUGCGCGCACCGC